CCUACGGGAGGCAGCAGUGAGGAAUAUUGGUCAAUGGACGCAAGUCUGAACCAGCCAUGCCGCGUGCAGGAAGACGGCUCUAUGAGUUGUAAACUGCUUUUGUACGAGGGUAAACGCAGAUACGCGUAUCUGUCUGAAAGUAUCGUACGAAUAAGGAUCGGCUAACUCCGUGCCAGCAGCCGCGGUAAUACGGAGGAUUCAAGCGUUAUCCGGAUUUAUUGGGUUUAAAGGGUGCGUAGGCGGUCGGAUAAGUUAGAGGUGAAAUCCCGAGGCUCAACUUCGGCAUUGCCUCUGAUACUGGUAGGCUAGAGAGUAGGUGCGGUAGGCGGAAUGUAUGGUGUAGCGGUGAAAUGCUUAGAGAUCAUACAGAACACCGAUUGCGAAGGCAGCUUACCAAGCUACUUCUGACGUUGAGGCACGAAAGCGUGGGGAGCAAACAGGAUUAGAUACCCCAGUAGUC
This 460-nucleotide ribosomal RNA is filed under the name uncultured bacterium. Its description in RNAcentral is "partial 16S ribosomal RNA". It matches the Rfam family "Bacterial small subunit ribosomal RNA", at positions 338 to 795 of the family's 1533-position model. The record is from RNAcentral.